CGGGCUGCGGGCCGUGGUGUUCCUACCGGGCCGAUGGUUCAUGCUCAACCGGGUCUUGCUGGGCCUGUUCGUGGUGUUGGCGGGCCUGCUCCGGGGAUGAUGCAGCCUCAGCUUUCUCGGCCUCCAAUGCCUCAAGUUUCUGCUCCACCUAUUAAUUACCCACCGCCGAUGAUGAGGCCACCAGGUGGUGGGCCACCACAAAUGCCGCCGCAAGGUAUGCAGAUGCAGAGGCCUGGUGGACCUCCGCCACCUAUGGCACCGCCACCACAGUUCAGGCCGGGUGGUGGUCCACCACAACAGUUUCCACCGCAGUUUGGUCAGCGGCCCAUGGUUCCUCCGCCUCCUAUGAUGAGGGGUCCACCACCACCUGGUGCUCCACCUAGACCAGGAAUGCCUGGUGGUCCUCCUGGUCAACCACCUCGCCCUGGUAUGCCACCACCACCUCCAGGUGGUCAGGUUCCUGUUUAUGGACCUCCUCGUCCUGGUAUGCCUCCACCGCCAAAUGCUCCUCCACAGAAUCAGC
This 523-nucleotide long non-coding RNA is filed under the name Capsicum annuum. Its description in RNAcentral is "long non-coding RNA (CANN_LNC012934)". Lineage: Eukaryota; Viridiplantae; Streptophyta; Magnoliopsida; Solanales; Solanaceae. The record is from RNAcentral.